GACGAACGCUGGCGGCGUGCUUAACACAUGCAAGUCGUACGGUAAGGCCCUUUCGGGGGUACACGAGUGGCGAACGGGUGAGUAACACGUGAGUAACCUGCCCACAACUUUGGGAUAACGCUAGGAAACUGGUGCUAAUACUGGAUAUGUGCUCCUGCUGCGUGGUGGGGGUUGGAAAGCUCCGGCGGUUGUGGAUGGACUCGCGGCCUAUCAGCUUGUUGGUGGGGUAGUGGCCUACCAAGGCGGCGACGGGUAGCCGGCCUGAGAGGGUGACCGGCCACAUUGGGACUGAGAUACGGCCCAGACUCCUACGGGAGGCAGCAGUGGGGAAUAUUGCACAAUGGGCGCAAGCCUGAUGCAGCAACGCCGCGUGCGGGAUGACGGCCUUCGGGUUGUAAACCGCUUUCAGCAGGGACGAAGCUUUUUGUGACGGUACCUGCAGAAGAAGCACCGGCUAACUACGUG
Molecule: ribosomal RNA, 465 nt
Filed under: uncultured bacterium
Lineage: Bacteria
Description: partial 16S ribosomal RNA
Rfam family: Bacterial small subunit ribosomal RNA
Source: RNAcentral